AGAGUUUGAUCAUGGCUCAGAACGAACGCUGGCGGCAUGCCUAACACAUGCAAGUCGAACGAGACCUUCGGGUCUAGUGGCGCACGGGUGCGUAACGCGUGGGAAUCUGCCCUUGGGUUCGGGAUAACAGUUGGAAACGACUGCUAAUACCGGAUGAUGACUUCGGUCCAAAGAUUUAUCGCCCAGGGAUGAGCCCGCGUAGGAUUAGCUAGUUGGUGAGGUAAAGGCUCACCAAGGCGACGAUCCUUAGCUGGUCUGAGAGGAUGAUCAGCCACACUGGGACUGAGACACGGCCCAGACUCCUACGGGAGGCAGCAGUGGGGAAUAUUGGACAAUGGGCGAAAGCCUGAUCCAGCAAUGCCGCGUGAGUGAUGAAGGCCUUAGGGUUGUAAAGCUCUUUUACCCGGGAUGAUAAUGACAGUACCGGGAGAAUAAGCCCCGGCUAACUACGUGCCAGCAGCCGCGGUAAUACGUAGGUGGCAAGCGUUGUCCGGAUUUAC
This 500-nucleotide ribosomal RNA is filed under the name uncultured bacterium. RNAcentral describes it as "bacterial SSU rRNA". It matches the Rfam family "Bacterial small subunit ribosomal RNA", at positions 8 to 554 of the family's 1533-position model. The record is from RNAcentral.